This 1363-nucleotide ribosomal RNA is filed under the name Actinomyces naeslundii. RNAcentral describes it as "16S ribosomal RNA". It matches the Rfam family "Bacterial small subunit ribosomal RNA", at positions 81 to 1414 of the family's 1533-position model. Lineage: Bacteria; Bacillati; Actinomycetota; Actinomycetes; Actinomycetales; Actinomycetaceae. The record is from RNAcentral.
UGGGUCCUGGAUGAGUGGCGAACGGGUGAGUAACACGUGAGUAACCUGCCCCCUUCUUCUGGAUAACCGCAUGAAAGUGUGGCUAAUACGGGAUAUUCUGGGUCUGUCGCAUGGUGGGCCUGGGAAAGAUUGCGUCUUUUUGGUGUUUUUGGUGGGGGAUGGGCUCGCGGCCUAUCAGCUUGUUGGUGGGGUGAUGGCCUACCAAGGCGGUGACGGGUAGCCGGCCUGAGAGGGUGGACGGUCACACUGGGACUGAGACACGGCCCAGACUCCUACGGGAGGCAGCAGUGGGGAAUAUUGCACAAUGGGCGCAAGCCUGAUGCAGCGACGCCGCUUGAGGGAUGGAGGCCUUCGGGUUGUGAACCUCUUUCGCCAGUGAAGCAGGCCUGCUCCUUUUUUGUGGGUGGGUUGACGGUAGCUGGAUAAGAAGCGCCGGCUAACUACGUGCCAGCAGCCGCGGUAAUACGUAGGGCGCGAGCGUUGUCCGGAAUUAUUGGGCGUAAAGAGCUCGUAGGCGGCUGGUCGCGUCUGUCGUGAAAUCCUCUGGCUUAACUGGGGGCUUGCGGUGGGUACGGGCCGGCUUGAGUGCGGUAGGGGAGGCUGGAACUCCUGGUGUAGCGGUGGAAUGCGCAGAUAUCAGGAAGAACACCGGUGGCGAAGGCGGGUCUCUGGGCCGUUACUGACGCUGAGGAGCGAAAGCGUGGGGAGCGAACAGGAUUAGAUACCCUGGUAGUCCACGCCGUAAACGUUGGGCACUAGGUGUGGGGGGCCUUUUCCGGGUCUUCCGCGCCGUAGCUAACGCAUUAAGUGCCCCGCCUGGGGAGUACGGCCGCAAGGCUAAAACUCAAAGGAAUUGACGGGGGCCCGCACAAGCGGCGGAGCAUGCGGAUUAAUUCGAUGCAACGCGAAGAACCUUACCAAGGCUUGACAUGUGCCGGUCUGCUCCGGAGACGGGGUUUCCUCCCUUGUGGGGGCUGGUUCACAGGUGGUGCAUGGUUGUCGUCAGCUCGUGUCGUGAGAUGUUGGGUUAAGUCCCGCAACGAGCGCAACCCUUGUCUCGUGUUGCCAGCACGUUGUGGUGGGGACUCGCGGGAGACUGCCGGGGUCAACUCGGAGGAAGGUGGGGAUGACGUCAAAUCAUCAUGCCCCUUAUGUCUUGGGCUUCACGCAUGCUACAAUGGCCGGUACAGAGGGCUGCGAUACCGUGAGGUGGAGCGAAUCCCUUAAAGCCGGUCUCAGUUCGGAUCGGUGUCUGCAACUCGACACCGUGAAGUUGGAGUCGCUAGUAAUCGCAGAUCAGCAACGCUGCGGUGAAUACGUUCUCGGGCCUUGUACACACCGCCCGUCACGUCAUGAAAGUCGG